RNAcentral lists this ribosomal RNA (2210 nucleotides) under uncultured Planctomycetota bacterium. RNAcentral's name for it is "bacterial SSU rRNA". The stretch from base 1 to 1508 matches the Rfam family "Bacterial small subunit ribosomal RNA". Lineage: Bacteria; Pseudomonadati; Planctomycetota. The record is from RNAcentral.
GGAUUAGGCAUGCAAGUCGAACGAGAAAGCUUCCUUCGGGAAGUGAUUAAAGUGGCGAAAGGGUGAGUAAUGUAUGGAUGACUUACCCUCGAGACGGGGACAACAGCUCGAAAGGGCUGCUAAUACCCGAUAGUUCCUGUUGCCCAAGGGCUUCAGGAUAAAUGGUGCUUCCGCUCGAGGAGAGGUCCAUAUCCUAUCAGCUUGUUGGUGGGGUAAAAGCCUACCAAGGCGAUGACGGGUAGCCGGACUGAGAGGUUGGCCGGCCACACUGGGACUGAGACACUGCCCAGACUCCUACGGGAGGCUGCAGUCGAGAAUCUUCCGCAAUGGGCGAAAGCCUGACGGAGCGACGCCGCGUGCAGGAGGACGGCCCUCGGGUUGUAAACUGCUGUCAUACGUUAAGAAACGUUAUGUUUAAUCAUAGCCUGACAAAGGCGUGAGAGGAAGUCACGGCUAACUUCGUGCCAGCAGCCGCGGUAAGACGAAGGUGGCAAGCGUUGUUCGGAAUUACUGGGCAUAAAGCGCGCGUAGGUGGCUUGGUAUGUCAAUGGUGAAAUCCCGUGGCUCAACCAUGGAACUGCCGUUGAAACUGCCAGGCUUGAGUACAGGAGGGGAGAGUGGAAUUCCAAGUGUAGCGGUGAAAUGCGUAGAUAUUUGGAGGAACGCCGGAGGCGAAAGCGACUCUCUGGACUGUUACUGACACUGAGGCGCGAAAGCUAGGGGAGCAAACAGGAUUAGAUACCCUGGUAGUCCUAGCCGUAAACGAUGGGCACUAGGUGGAGGGAGUUCCGAUGCUUUCUCUGUCGAAGCUAAUGCGAUAAGUGCCCCGCCUGGGGAGUAUGGUCGCAAGGCUAAAACUCAAAGGAAUUGACGGGGACUCACACAAGCGGUGGAGCAUGUGGUUUAAUUCGAAGCAACGCGCAGAACCUUACCCGGGUUUGAAAUGCAGGGAUUAACCUUCUGAAAGGAAGGGGAUUGCCUUUGGUGUAACCUGCACAGGUGUUGCAUGGCUGUCGUCAGCUCGUGUCGUGAGAUGUCGGGUUAAGUCCCUUAACGAGCGAAACCCUUAUCUUUAGUUGCCAGCGGGUAAUGCCGGGGACUCUAGAGAGACUGCCGUUGUUAAAACGGAGGAAGGUGGGGACGACGUCAAGUCAUCAUGGCCUUUAUGUCCGGGGCUACACACGUGCUACAAUGGCCGGUAUAAAGUGAAGCAAGACCGCAAGGUGGAGCAAAUCACAGAAAGCCGGUCCCAGUUCGGAUUGGGGGCUGCAAUUCGCCCCCAUGAAGUCGGAAUCGCUAGUAAUCGCGGGUCAGCCAUACCGCGGUGAGUAUGUUCCUGAGUCUUGUACACACCGCCCGUCAAGCCACGAAAGCUGGUAGUACCUUAAGUCGUGUACCUAACUCGAACCUUCGGGAACGGGAGGGAAGCGCCCACGGUAAAACUAGUGAUUGGGACUAAGUCGUAACAAGGUAGCCGUAGGGGAACCUGUGGCUGGAUCACCUCCUUUCUAGGGAUAACUAGACUUGGUCGGUCAGAAAUGGCCAGCCUUGAUUUUCGGCGCAUGCGAGUCGUUCAGGCUACUCUUUCUUUAAUAUUCUGCAGUGAGGAAUCUUUCUCUCUGCAUCAUAAUAAAAACUGCCUCGUGCAGUUUUGCUCUUUGUGAACUUGAACAACAUCAAUUGGAUCAUUCGGGCCUAUAGCUCAGUUGGUUAGAGCGUACGCCUGAUAAGCGUAAGGUCUGUGGUUCGAAUCCACAUAGGCCCACCAGAAGGUAGACCUGAAUUUACUAUUCAGGAUUUACGCACUAAAACGAGACAAAUCCUUUUGUUGGGGGCGUAGCUCAGUUGGAAGAGCAUCUCGCUUGCACCGAGAAGGUCGCGGGCUCGAAUCCUGUCGCCUCCACCAGAUGCGCGACUUUGAUCUUUGAUCAGUUGGUUCUUUGACAAAGUGGGGUUCGUGGUCAAAUUAACACACUGUAUCUUGGGAUUUGCUUGAUUCUCAAAAAAAGUGGUCAAGCUACUAAGAGUACAUGGCGGAUGUUUAGGCAUCAGCGAGCGACGAAGGACGUGGGACGACUGCGUUAAGCUCCGGGGAGUUGUCUACCAAGCUUUGAUCCGGAGAUUUCCCAAUCCGAAAACGGGCCAGGGUAAACCCCUGGCAUUCAUAGCUGAAUGCAUAGGCUAUGGAAGCGAACCGGGAGAACUGAAAC